UAUUUUACAUCACCCUUGAAAUCUUUAGUCUUUAAUACAUUUUUAAACAGUUACUUGGAUACUUAAAAAAUCUCUCUGGUAAAUGAAUUGACAAAGAAUAUUAAAGAAGAGAAAAUGUCAGAAUCAUGAAACUCAAGAACACAAUGUGCAGCUUGCAAGCUUCAUAGGAGAAAAUGCAAAGAAGAUUGUAUAAUUGCGCCCUAUUUACCGGCUUCGGAGAGCAAAAAGUACACUAGAUUACACAGCCUAUAUGGUUCAAGCAAUCUUAUUAAGCUUUUAACAGAUAUUAAUCCUAACCAAAGAGCAGAAGCUAUAGAUUCACUUGAUUAUGAAGCUCAACAGUACCGUCGUGAUCCGGCUUACUGGGCCGCUCAAUUUUCAUAUUUCGAGCAAAAAUACAAUCUGUUACAGGAUCGGAUUUUAGCUGCAAAGCAAGAAUUGUCUACUAAUUAUAUCAAAUCUAAUGCAAUUCAACGCGUUUUGUCGCAACAAACGGGUGCUGAAGAACUGACCACCCGGGAAUUUUUCCCAAGGUCUGCUCGUGUUGAAAUAAAUCGGCCACAGAAUUUGGUUGAGAAUAGUAAACAAUUCUCCGCGAAACGACUAGAGCUGAAGCUUUUUGAAGAACAAGAGGAUGAGGAGGAGCUAAUUCAACUAAAUCAAUCUGAUAUAAGCGUAAUUAAAUGUUGCAUGUGUGGAGAUUCUGGCCUUUCUUCUCAGCUUUUUCAAUGCAAAAUUUGUCAAUCCACAUCACAACGCAGCGGUGAAGACGGACAGCAACACCCAGAACUAGAAAAGAAACAGCAGACUGAAAAGGAAAAGGAAAAGAAAACUGGUCCAUCUUCAUGAAAGUUCUCUGCUAGUGAUCAUAUUAACUUUCUUGCUGUGCAAGAUCUGAUAUAAAUUGGUGGAUACUCAUACAGCAAAACAGAGGAUGAUUUUUUUGUGGAGAAAUAACAUUUGUAGUUUACAAGUUGCUUUCAUAUCUUAGAACAGCUUAAUUGCCUUGCUUGCAUAAUUCAUUCAUAGUGAAGAUGAAGUGUAAAACCUCAUAGUAUAGUUUUUUUUAGAGUUUUUAGCAUAAAACGACGUAGUUUAAUGGCCAAAUGUCGUAAAAAGGCCAAACCUUUCAUAAAAGUUUCACAAAAGUCCUGACCUUUCAAUUUUGUCGAUUUUGGCCAAAAACAAAUUAUUUGGUUUCAAUUGUGGCCAACUCUCAAUUUGAUUUCAAUUUGCCUAUGUGGCGCCUAUGUGCCGCCUAUGUGGCAUGCCAAAUAUUGAAAGGUUAGGACUUUUGUGAAACCGAAUAAUCCAUUUUUGGCCAAAAUCGACAAAAUUGAAAGGUCAUGACUUUUGUGAAACCAAAUAAUCAGUUUUUGGCCAAAAUCGACAAAAUUGAGAGGUCAGGACUUUUGUGAAAUUUUUGUGAAAGGUUUGGCCUUUUUACAACAUUUGGCCUAGUUUAAUUGAUGACGUUCAUGUAUUAAACGACAUAAUUUUAAUGUGUAAAACGAAACAUUUUGACGUGGCAACAUACAUAUGUGGCAUCUCCAGAGUUUUGAUUUGCCAAAAAUUAAAAGUCGGUGAGUGAUUUUAUAGACUAAUUACACAUACUUUAUAUGAUUAUACAGACUAAAAAUUAUAUGUUCAUCAUUAAUUUUACCAAAUUUUAAAGUUCCUAUCACAAAUGCAAAAGACGUUAAAAUUUGUGAUUUAAUUACAAGUAGUAAACCAUAAUAGUUAAAAACACUCAUGUCAUGAAUUUUUAAAAAAGUUAAACCAUCAAUUUAGAAAGAAACAAAAAUUUAGAUAUUAGAGUAAUAUUUUAUGUUAUGAGACAUUGAGGACAUUGAAUUCUUGUAUAUAUAUUUUACACAUCACCGUUGAAUUCUUGAGUUCUUAGUACAUUUUUUUUAUUAGAUUUCUCGACUUUUAACUGGUAAGUUCAAUUUCUUCAUUCCAUAAUUUUUCAUGCAAUACGAUGUCGUAUAAUAUCCCUCUUGAGUCUUGUCUCUCUUGUCGACAUAUGGUUUGUUUUCUUUAAUUUUCUCCUCUUUUGCAUCAACUCUGUUUGGAUACCAAGAAAAUAUUUAAGUUGGUUUCCGUUUCGUCUCGUGAAUUUCUUUAAUUAAUAACUUUUAUAAAAAAAAUGAAAAUUUAAGCUUGUUUGAUUAUUUAAUUUUAGUUUCUUGGUUUUAAAGAUUCUAAACAGUAACUUAUCAACAAAUAUAUGACAGAUACCAAAUAGCAAAUAUACAAUAGAUUGAGCACCAUCGGAAUCAAUUAGUCUCAAAUUAUUAUCAAAAUUUUAAAUUUAUGAGCUAGGUAAUUGUUUGCCUACGAUUUUAUGCAGGUCCGCCGAUGAUAAAGAUAAUCGACCACAUCAACAACAACAAUCGGAAUAGGCAGCAUAAUCUGAUGCAACUGCAAAAACAGCAGCAACUUUCAAAAAAACUAAUGGAGGUGGAUCUUUUUCUAGAACAAGAUGAUCCGAAACCACAAGACGAGGAGGAAAUAAUCCGACUAGAACAACACACAAAACAGCUUUUACAAGACGAAGUGACUGAAAAGAAAACUGGUCCAUCUUCAUGAACAUUUUUGCUAUUUGAAGAAACUUUCUGUUCAAGCAAAAAAUUUAGAGCAUCAGCAACAACAGAAGAGGCAGCAUAAUCUAAUGCUACUGCAAAAACAGCAGCAAAAACUUUUCACAAGGUUCGCUCAUGAUAGAGGUAAUCGGCCGCAGCAUUUGGUUGUGAAUAAUAUGCAAUUCUCUAGUGCGAGUUAUGAGCAACAGCAUAGUCUACUGCCACUGCAAAAAUAGCAGCAUAACCUAAUUGAAUGUUACAUUUGUAAAGAUUCUGGCCUAUCUUCUCAGCUUUUCCAAUGCAAGAUUUUCUAAUUCAGAUCACAA
Mercurialis annua (annual mercury) is the source of this 2911-nucleotide long non-coding RNA. RefSeq lists it as uncharacterized. The transcript is spliced from 7 exons. The record is from RefSeq and is a predicted model, not a curated record. Lineage: Eukaryota; Viridiplantae; Streptophyta; Magnoliopsida; Malpighiales; Euphorbiaceae.